CGGAGGGUGCGAGCGUUGUCCGGAAUCAUUGGGCGUAAAGGGCGCGUAGGUGGCCCGGUCAGUCUUUGGCGAAAGCGCGGGGCUCAACCCUGCGUCGGCCAGGGAUACUGCCGCGGCUCGAGCACUGUAGAGGCAGGCGGAAUUCCGGGUGUAGCGGUGGAAUGCGUAGAGAUCCGGAAGAACACCGGUGGCGAAGGCGGCCUGCUGGGCAGUUUUGCUGACACUGAGGCGCGACAGCGUGGGGAGCAAACAGGAUUAGAUACCCUGGUAGUCCACGCCGUAAACGAUGGGCACUAGGCGCUUGGGGGAGCGACCCCCCGAGGGCCGGCGCUAACGCAUUAAGUGCCCCGCCUGGGGAGUACGGCCGCAAGGCUG
Molecule: ribosomal RNA, 375 nt
Filed under: uncultured organism
Description: bacterial SSU rRNA
Rfam family: Bacterial small subunit ribosomal RNA
Source: RNAcentral